RNAcentral lists this ribosomal RNA (251 nucleotides) under uncultured prokaryote. RNAcentral describes it as "partial 16S rRNA". It matches the Rfam family "Bacterial small subunit ribosomal RNA", at positions 525 to 775 of the family's 1533-position model. The record is from RNAcentral.
ACGUAGGGGGCAAGCGUUGUCCGGAAUGAUUGGGCGUAAAGGGCGCGUAGGCGGCUCGGUAAGUCUGGAGUGAAAUUCCUGCUUUCAAGGUGGGAACUGCUUUGGAUACUGUCGGGCUUGAGUGCAGGAGAGGUAAGUGGAAUUCCCGGUGGAGCGGUGAAUUGCGUAGAGAUGGGGAUGAACACCAGUGGUGAAGGCGACUUACUGGUUUGUAACUGAGGCUGAGGCGCUAAAGUGUGGUGAGCAGUCUG